RNAcentral lists this ribosomal RNA (2933 nucleotides) under Escherichia coli. RNAcentral's name for it is "bacterial LSU rRNA". It matches the Rfam family "Bacterial large subunit ribosomal RNA". Lineage: Bacteria; Pseudomonadati; Pseudomonadota; Gammaproteobacteria; Enterobacterales; Enterobacteriaceae. The record is from RNAcentral.
GGGUUGUGAGGUUAAGCGACUAAGCGUACACGGUGGAUGCCCUGGCAGUCAGAGGCGAUGAAGGACGUGCUAAUCUGCGAUAAGCGUCGGUAAGGUGAUAUGAACCGUUAUAACCGGCGAUUUCCGAAUGGGGAAACCCAGUGUGAUUCGUCACACUAUCAUUAACUGAAUCCAUAGGUUAAUGAGGCGAACCGGGGGAACUGAAACAUCUAAGUACCCCGAGGAAAAGAAAUCAACCGAGAUUCCCCCAGUAGCGGCGAGCGAACGGGGAGCAGCCCAGAGCCUGAAUCAGUGUGUGUGUUAGUGGAAGCGUCUGGAAAGGCGCGCGAUACAGGGUGACAGCCCCGUACACAAAAAUGCACAUACUGUGAGCUCGAUGAGUAGGGCGGGACACGUGGUAUCCUGUCUGAAUAUGGGGGGACCAUCCUCCAAGGCUAAAUACUCCUGACUGACCGAUAGUGAACCAGUACCGUGAGGGAAAGGCGAAAAGAACCCCGGCGAGGGGAGUGAAAAAGAACCUGAAACCGUGUACGUACAAGCAGUGGGAGCACAGAGCAAUCUGUGUGACUGCGUACCUUUUGUAUAAUGGGUCAGCGACUUAUAUUCUGUAGCAAGGUUAACCGAAUAGGGGAGCCGAAGGGAAACCGAGUCUUAACUGGGCGUUAAGUUGCAGGGUAUAGACCCGAAACCCGGUGAUCUAGCCAUGGGCAGGUUGAAGGUUGGGUAACACUAACUGGAGGACCGAACCGACUAAUGUUGAAAAAUUAGCGGAUGACUUGUGGCUGGGGGUGAAAGGCCAAUCAAACCGGGAGAUAGCUGGUUCUCCCCGAAAGCUAUUUAGGUAGCGCCUCGUGAAUUCAUCUCCGGGGGUAGAGCACUGUUUCGGCAAGGGGGUCAUCCCGACUUACCAACCCGAUGCAAACUGCGAAUACCGGAGAAUGUUAUCACGGGAGACACACGGCGGGUGCUAACGUCCGUCGUGAAGAGGGAAACAACCCAGACCGCCAGCUAAGGUCCCAAAGUCAUGGUUAAGUGGGAAACGAUGUGGGAAGGCCCAGACAGCCAGGAUGUUGGCUUAGAAGCAGCCAUCAUUUAAAGAAAGCGUAAUAGCUCACUGGUCGAGUCGGCCUGCGCGGAAGAUGUAACGGGGCUAAACCAUGCACCGAAGCUGCGGCAGCGACGCUUAUGCGUUGUUGGGUAGGGGAGCGUUCUGUAAGCCUGCGAAGGUGUGCUGUGAGGCAUGCUGGAGGUAUCAGAAGUGCGAAUGCUGACAUAAGUAACGAUAAAGCGGGUGAAAAGCCCGCUCGCCGGAAGACCAAGGGUUCCUGUCCAACGUUAAUCGGGGCAGGGUGAGUCGACCCCUAAGGCGAGGCCGAAAGGCGUAGUCGAUGGGAAACAGGUUAAUAUUCCUGUACUUGGUGUUACUGCGAAGGGGGGACGGAGAAGGCUAUGUUGGCCGGGCGACGGUUGUCCCGGUUUAAGCGUGUAGGCUGGUUUUCCAGGCAAAUCCGGAAAACUAAGGCUGAGGCGUGAUGACGAGGCACUACGGUGCUGAAGCAACAAAUGCCCUGCUUCCAGGAAAAGCCUCUAAGCAUCAGGUAACAUCAAAUCGUACCCCAAACCGACACAGGUGGUCAGGUAGAGAAUACCAAGGCGCUUGAGAGAACUCGGGUGAAGGAACUAGGCAAAAUGGUGCCGUAACUUCGGGAGAAGGCACGCUGAUAUGUAGGUGAAGCGACUUGCUCGUGGAGCUGAAAUCAGUCGAAGAUACCAGCUGGCUGCAACUGUUUAUUAAAAACACAGCACUGUGCAAACACGAAAGUGGACGUAUACGGUGUGACGCCUGCCCGGUGCCGGAAGGUUAAUUGAUGGGGUCAGCGCAAGCGAAGCUCUUGAUCGAAGCCCCGGUAAACGGCGGCCGUAACUAUAACGGUCCUAAGGUAGCGAAAUUCCUUGUCGGGUAAGUUCCGACCUGCACGAAUGGCGUAAUGAUGGCCAGGCUGUCUCCACCCGAGACUCAGUGAAAUUGAACUCGCUGUGAAGAUGCAGUGUACCCGCGGCAAGACGGAAAGACCCCGUGAACCUUUACUAUAGCUUGACACUGAACAUUGAGCCUUGAUGUGUAGGAUAGGUGGGAGGCUUUGAAGUGUGGACGCCAGUCUGCAUGGAGCCGACCUUGAAAUACCACCCUUUAAUGUUUGAUGUUCUAACGUUGACCCGUAAUCCGGGUUGCGGACAGUGUCUGGUGGGUAGUUUGACUGGGGCGGUCUCCUCCUAAAGAGUAACGGAGGAGCACGAAGGUUGGCUAAUCCUGGUCGGACAUCAGGAGGUUAGUGCAAUGGCAUAAGCCAGCUUGACUGCGAGCGUGACGGCGCGAGCAGGUGCGAAAGCAGGUCAUAGUGAUCCGGUGGUUCUGAAUGGAAGGGCCAUCGCUCAACGGAUAAAAGGUACUCCGGGGAUAACAGGCUGAUACCGCCCAAGAGUUCAUAUCGACGGCGGUGUUUGGCACCUCGAUGUCGGCUCAUCACAUCCUGGGGCUGAAGUAGGUCCCAAGGGUAUGGCUGUUCGCCAUUUAAAGUGGUACGCGAGCUGGGUUUAGAACGUCGUGAGACAGUUCGGUCCCUAUCUGCCGUGGGCGCUGGAGAACUGAGGGGGGCUGCUCCUAGUACGAGAGGACCGGAGUGGACGCAUCACUGGUGUUCGGGUUGUCAUGCCAAUGGCACUGCCCGGUAGCUAAAUGCGGAAGAGAUAAGUGCUGAAAGCAUCUAAGCACGAAACUUGCCCCGAGAUGAGUUCUCCCUGACUCCUUGAGAGUCCUGAAGGAACGUUGAAGACGACGACGUUGAUAGGCCGGGUGUGUAAGCGCAGCGAUGCGUUGAGCUAACCGGUACUAAUGAACCGUGAGGCUUAACCUUACAACGCCGAAGGUGUUU